AACAAACGCUGGCGGCGUGCCUAAUACAUGCCAGUCGAACGGGGUAGCAAUACCUAGUGGCGCACGGGUGAGUAACGCGUGGAUAAUCUGCCUUAGAGUGGGGGAUAACUAGUCGAAAGAUUAGCUAAUACCGCAUAAGACCACAAGAGCUGCGGCUCAAGGGGUCAAAGGUUUUUCGCUCUAAGAUGAGUCCGCGUAAGAUUAGCUAGUUGGUGAGGUAAUGGCUCACCAAGGCGACGAUCUUUAACUGGUCUGAGAGGAUGAUCAGUCACACUGGAACUGAGACACGGUCCAGACUCCUACGGGAGGCAGCAGUAGGGAAUAUUGCACAAUGGAGGAAACUCUGAUGCAGCGACGCCGCGUGAGGGAUGAAGGCCUUCGGGUCGUAAAGCUCUGUCGCAGGGGAAUAACACAAUGAAUGUACCCUGUAAGAAAGGAUCGGCUAACUUCGUG
RNAcentral lists this ribosomal RNA (453 nucleotides) under uncultured bacterium. RNAcentral describes it as "partial 16S ribosomal RNA". It matches the Rfam family "Bacterial small subunit ribosomal RNA", at positions 29 to 507 of the family's 1533-position model. The record is from RNAcentral.